GCCGCCUACGGAUCUCUUCCCAAGCACCUAGAACUUUCCAAAGCGUGCUUGGAAUUUAACACCUUGGUCGUCGAUCCCCGCAAAUAUACUCUGAUGAGACCGGCUUUCUUCCCAUACCGCCCAGGAGUUUCUCCAGGUGGCAUUCCUGUCGCCUUGAGGUGGAACAUCAGUAGAGGCUCGAGGCUGAAGCAAGCACAAUACACAAGAGACUCCGAUUCGUACAGGAACAUUUCGAAAACAGGAAAUCCUGAGGACAAUGUGUAUCGUUUUCCAAAUCUUUGAGUAAACCGAAUGCUGCUCUAGGAAGAUUGCACUCCAUUGUAUUUAUCCUGCAGCUUUGUGUAACCUGUCAGCCCUGCACACCCAGCUGGUAUUUGUAUCUGGAUGAGAAGCGCAGCCUUUGGGAAGGCAGAACACUGGGGCAGAACUGGUGCCAACACCAGU
RNAcentral lists this long non-coding RNA (444 nucleotides) under Homo sapiens (human). RNAcentral describes it as "HSALNT0342425". The record is from RNAcentral. Lineage: Eukaryota; Metazoa; Chordata; Mammalia; Primates; Hominidae.